GAUGAACGCUGGCGGCGUGCUUAACACAUGCAAGUCGAACGGGGUUAUUCUUUUAGUUUACUAGAGGGGUAACUUAGUGGCGGACGGGUGAGUAACGCGUGAGGACCUGUCCUUUGCAGGGGGACAACAGUUGGAAACGGCUGCUAAUACCGCAUGAGCGCUUCGGCGUGAAAGGAGCAAUCCGGCAAGGGAGGGACUCGCGUCCUAUUAGCUAGUUGGUGGGGUAAGGGCCUACCAAGGCGAUGACGGGUAGCCGGCCUGAGAGGGCGCACGGCCACACUGGGACUGAGAUACGGCCCAGACUCCUACGGGAGGCAGCAGUGGGGAAUAUUGGGCAAUGGGGGCAACCCUGACCCAGCGACGCCGCGUGAGUGAAGAAGUCUUUCGGGACGUAAAGCUCUUUUGUACGGGAAGAAGACGAUGACGGUACCGUACGAAUAAGCCCCGGCAAACUACGUGCCAGCCGCCGCGGUAA
RNAcentral lists this ribosomal RNA (475 nucleotides) under uncultured bacterium. RNAcentral's name for it is "partial 16S ribosomal RNA". It matches the Rfam family "Bacterial small subunit ribosomal RNA", at positions 28 to 523 of the family's 1533-position model. The record is from RNAcentral.